GGAGAAAUGGUAGAGUAGGUUUAAUACAUCUGAUUUGAAAUCAGACGAAUUUAUAAAAAUUCCGUGGGUUCAAAUCCCACUUUCUCCU
This 88-nucleotide transfer RNA is filed under the name Nephromyces sp. ex Molgula occidentalis. Its description in RNAcentral is "tRNA-Ser". It matches the Rfam family "tRNA". From Rfam's summary of the family: Transfer RNA (tRNA) molecules are approximately 80 nucleotides in length. Their secondary structure includes four short double-helical elements and three loops (D, anti-codon, and T loops). The record is from RNAcentral. Lineage: Eukaryota; Apicomplexa; Aconoidasida; Nephromycida.